Molecule: transfer RNA, 71 nt
Filed under: Camelus bactrianus (Bactrian camel)
Lineage: Eukaryota; Metazoa; Chordata; Mammalia; Artiodactyla; Camelidae
Also listed under: 2 other names
Rfam family: tRNA
About the family: Transfer RNA (tRNA) molecules are approximately 80 nucleotides in length.
Source: Rfam by way of RNAcentral
GAGGGUAUAGCUCAGUAGUAGAGUGCAUGCGUAGCAUGCACGAGGUCCUGGUUCGAGCCCCAGUACCUCCA